AGUUAACCAACAGGACACAGCCCUGGUGAUGGCUUUCUGAGGAUGACACGAUGGAGGCUUCUCCAAUAGCUCUAAAAUUGUUGUGUGGAAAACAUUUGGCAGCCUCAAAGAGCGGUCUUGUUGACCCCAACUAUAUCAUUUUUCAUCAAAGUCAUUCUUGUAAAGAAUGACCAGGCAACACUCUUUGAAAAUUGGAGACCAUUUGCAGCUGCUCUCUGUUGAGGAAAGUGAAUAAUAGGGUGCCCUCAAGGAAUUGCAAAGGUAUCACUCAACAGAAACUUUUGUGUCUGAAGAAAACUAGAUCAUUUUAUCAUGGUAGGCAUGCUGAUAUGUUUGCUUUAAUAAAAUGCCAUAUUUCUGCCUUUAAUCUCUUGUCAACCCGCUAUUAAAAAGCCCUAAAGUGCAUGCGUGCAGCACAUGUAAACACUUGCGGUUUUGAGGUUACCACAGAACAUACUAAUAAAGCAUGUAAUUUGUGUUUUGUGCACA
This 489-nucleotide long non-coding RNA is filed under the name Pongo abelii (Sumatran orangutan). Its description in RNAcentral is "lincRNA". Lineage: Eukaryota; Metazoa; Chordata; Mammalia; Primates; Hominidae. The record is from RNAcentral.